UGGAGAUUUGCUCGUUCUGCACAGGCGUGUGAUGAGGAUCCUGCUCUGCAUCUGGAGUUCCUGGCCAAUUACAUCGCUGAGCUAUCCCUGCUGGAGUAUAGUCUUCUGUCUUACCCUCCAUCACUAAUCGCUGCCUCAGCUAUUUUCUUGGCGAGAUUUGUACUCCAGCCAACGAAGUAUCCUUGGAACUCCACGCUUGCUCACUACACGCAUUACAAGCCGUCCGAGUUGAGCGAGUGUGUAAAGACACUGCACCGCCUUUCCAGCGUUG
Zea mays is the source of this 271-nucleotide long non-coding RNA. RefSeq lists it as uncharacterized. NCBI's taxonomy places the organism in Eukaryota, Viridiplantae, Streptophyta, Magnoliopsida, Poales, Poaceae. The record is from RefSeq and is a predicted model, not a curated record. The transcript is spliced from 3 exons.